UUUUUUCCAAGCACAUUUUACCAAUUCCAAAUCACAUCAAUCUUAAUAAAUACUAUACAUUUGUUAUUUAAUCAUUUAUGAGUGAUAUAUAAUUGUCCUUGAAGGCUGGAAGUGAAAAACUCCUUAUAUUCAGGAGUGCUGAAUUAUUAGGCAUGUUUUUUUGCCAUGCUUUGGUCAUAGAGCUCAUUGUAGCGGUGCCUCAGGUGUUGAAAUAGAUUUGUUAUACAUUAUACAGGUUCACACGUACUCCGUCCGCAUGCGUAUACAGUAUGUGUAUGCGGUUCAGAAGCAGCAGCGAGAGCGCGUUAUUGUAACGCGAAAGCACAUUAAAAUAAUGCGCGAGCGCGAAUCUAUCCGCUCGCACGCAGAUUUCCUCUGCUUUGUCACAAAACCAGACACGCGUGCUCAGAUACAUGCUAUAGCCCGG
Cyprinus carpio carpio is the source of this 427-nucleotide long non-coding RNA. Lineage: Eukaryota; Metazoa; Chordata; Actinopteri; Cypriniformes; Cyprinidae. The record is from Ensembl.